This 195-nucleotide microRNA precursor is filed under the name Oryza brachyantha (malo sina). Its description in RNAcentral is "MIR812 microRNA precursor family". It matches the Rfam family "MIR812 microRNA precursor family". Lineage: Eukaryota; Viridiplantae; Streptophyta; Magnoliopsida; Poales; Poaceae. The record is from Rfam by way of RNAcentral.
AAUAAACCAAUUUUUCACUUUUUACCUAUAAUUUUUUAUUAUUCGUUUUAUUUAAAUUUUGUUGUGAUUGAUAUUUUUAUUUUUAUUAGAUGAUAAAUCAUGAAUAGUACUUUACGUGUGACUAAUUUUUUUCUAAUUUUCUAAAUUUUUUUUUAAAUAAGACGGAUGAUCAAACGUUAGACACGAAAACUGAAG